Molecule: ribosomal RNA, 468 nt
Filed under: uncultured bacterium
Lineage: Bacteria
Description: partial 16S ribosomal RNA
Rfam family: Bacterial small subunit ribosomal RNA
Source: RNAcentral
GACGAACGCUGGCGGCGUGCUUAACACAUGCAAGUCGAACGGAAAGGCCCUGCUUUUGUGGGGUGCUCGAGUGGCGAACGGGUGAGUAACACGUGAGUAACCUGCCCUUGACUUUGGGAUAACUUCAGGAAACUGGGGCUAAUACCGGAUAGGAGCUCCUGCUGCAUGGUGGGGGUUGGAAAGUUUCGGCGGUUGGGGAUGGACUCGCGGCUUAUCAGCUUGUUGGUGGGGUAGUGGCUUACCAAGGCUUUGACGGGUAGCCGGCCUGAGAGGGUGACCGGCCACAUUGGGACUGAGAUCCGGCCCAGCCUCCUACGGGAGGCAGCAGUGGGGAAUAUUGCACAAUGGGCGGAAGCCUGAUGCAGCAACGCCGCGUGCGGGAUGACGGCCUUCGGGUUGUAAACCGCUUUCGCCUGUGACGAAGCGUGAGUGACGGUAAUGGGUAAAGAAGCACCGGCUAACUACGUG